UAGUCCACGCCCUAAACGAUGAAUACUAGAUGUUUGGUGCCAAGCGUACUGAGUGUCGUAGCUAACGCGAUAAGUAUUCCGCCUGGGAAGUACGGCCGCAAGGUUAAAACUCAAAGGAAUUGACGGGUGCCCGCACAAGCGGUGGAGCAUGUGGUUUAAUUCGAUGCAACGCGAAGAACCUUACCUGGGCUUGACAUGUCUGGAAUCCUGCAGAGAUGCGGGAGUGCCCUUCGGGGAAUCAGAACACAGGUGCUGCAUGGCUGUCGUCAGCUCGUGUCGUGAGAUGUUGGGUUAAGUCCCGCAACGAGCGCAACCCUUGUCCUUAGUUGCCAGCGGUUCGGCCGGGCACUCUAGGGAGACUGCCGGUGACAAACCGGAGGAAGGUGGGGAUGACGUCAAGUCCUCAUGGCCUUUAUGUCCAGGGCUACACACGUGCUACAAUGGCGCGUACAGAGGGAAGCCAAGCCGCGAGGUGGAGCAGACCCCAGAAAGCGCGUCGUAGUUCGGAUUGCAGUCUGCAACUCGACUGCAUGAAGUCGGAAUCGCUAGUAAUCGCGGAUCAGCAUGCCGCGGUGAUACGUUCCCGGGC
Molecule: ribosomal RNA, 589 nt
Filed under: uncultured bacterium
Lineage: Bacteria
Description: bacterial SSU rRNA
Rfam family: Bacterial small subunit ribosomal RNA
Source: RNAcentral